GACGAACGCUGGCGGCGCGCCUAACACAUGCAAGUCGAACGAGCGAGAGAGAGCUUGCUUUCUCGAGCGAGUGGCGAACGGGUGAGUAACGCGUGAGGAACCUGCCUCAAAGAGGGGGACAACAGUUGGAAACGACUGCUAAUACCGCAUAAGCCCACGGCUCGGCAUCGAGCAGAGGGAAAAGGAGCAAUCCGCUUUGAGAUGGCCUCGCGUCCGAUUAGCUAGUUGGUGAGGUAACGGCCCACCAAGGCAACGAUCGGUAGCCGGACUGAGAGGUUGAACGGCCACAUUGGGACUGAGACACGGCCCAGACUCCUACGGGAGGCAGCAGUGGGGAAUAUUGCACAAUGGGGGAAACCCUGAUGCAGCGACGCCGCGUGGAGGAAGAAGGUCUUCGGAUUGUAAACUCCUGUUGUUGGGGAAGAUAAUGACGGUACCCAACAAGGAAGUGACGGC
This 456-nucleotide ribosomal RNA is filed under the name uncultured bacterium. RNAcentral describes it as "bacterial SSU rRNA". It matches the Rfam family "Bacterial small subunit ribosomal RNA", at positions 28 to 497 of the family's 1533-position model. The record is from RNAcentral.